Long non-coding RNA from Corapipo altera (White-ruffed manakin), 3080 nucleotides. RefSeq lists it as uncharacterized. The transcript is spliced from 8 exons. The record is from RefSeq and is a predicted model, not a curated record. Lineage: Eukaryota; Metazoa; Chordata; Aves; Passeriformes; Pipridae.
CUCAAAAUUGUGAUCUGAAUCUGCCUCCCAUGUUUCAAUUCUCUUUUGUUCUCCCAAAAUCUUUAUGGGUUCUUCAUAAAGCUUCAGCAGGAGGUGCAUUUUCAACUCCAGUACAGACUGUUCUGAAGAGGUUCUCUCAACCUCGAGCUGUCCUGGUCCUAGUUUCUGGCCCUGCUAUCCUCAUCAAUGGAGUACACAUGUUAGCAGCAGGUCUCACAGAUAUUUUCUGGCAAGACAGUCAGUGCUAAACCCAGAGUUUGGGGGUUCUCCAUGAUUUGAACAAAAUACAACUGGGCAGUUGGACUCUGCAGUCCUGGGCUGCUUCAGUCCAGCUCCUCCUGUCUCCACGUCUGACUUACCUUCUCCCAUCCAUAUCUUUGUCUGGAGGCUCUGCAGCUGUGAUGACAGAGCAACAUCUUUCAAGACCGUUUCAGUGCAGAAUAUCAAACAUAGCUGCUGUUACAGAGCGUGCAAGACUGAUCUCAAAGACAGAAGUUCAGCUGAGAAAUCCAUGGUUACAAAGCUUACCACAGGGAAACAGUAACAGGGCAUAUCUGGAUCUCUGUGUUUGUUAGUGAAGAGCUUUCAUGUUCUAAACUGCAGGCCCCAACCUCACCUGGACAUCUCCUGGCAGAUAGCCCCACAAGUCACACCACAGGGAAGACAUCUGCAUGCAAGGAUGCCACCUUGCAUGUACAGUAAAUGUGCCAGGGGUAAGCAGAGCCCUUACUUUGCAAAGGUCACAGUCAGAAGUUCCUUGCAAGGGCUGAAUUGACCAGCAGUUCCUGAAAAGCAAGACUUGAUUAUUGACUGUGCUUUGCCAAGAAUUACAUAUCAUUAUGUUGAUUCAUGUUGCUACUCUCUUUGCAGCCCAUGAGGUCCUGGGAGUCACCCUCCCUCUCAGUAAGAGCAGGGGGGAGGCUCACUUGAAUGCCCAGCUGCUGGUCUGCAGUGUCUUAGAAGGGAUCAUUUCCCUUCCACCAGAGUCCUGAGUCCCUGAAGGAGGUGCCAGACCCACAUGCCUGCCUGCAAGGCUCACAGCAGCAUCUUUUAGAUGAGAGAAAGGGAAAGGACAGCUAACACUCCCCCACAUCAGCACAGCGUGUCCCAGAAACCUCUAAAGGAGUUGCUGUUAAUUUUCCCUCCCACAGUCUCCCUGGAUAGUGUGGGCACAAGAGUGUGGAAAAAGCUUUCAAAGCUGUGACUUGCGAUUUCCCCACGGGGGCUCACAUAGGAAGGUUAGGGACAAUGUUGGGAAGUGCACGAGAAGAGACCCUUGCCUGCUCCUUGCAAAUUGCUCUCCCAUGCAGUUAAGUAAGUAUCCCUCUCACACUCCCCCAGAACAGGGAGGAUAUGACAUUUUAUUUAAUGUAAAGUCACCUGAAGACUUGCCAGCACCUUGCUCCUGCCUCACAUGGCACAUUGCUGCCUCUGGUUGUAGGGCUGUGCUGGGAAUGCAGAGGUGAGGCAUUUAAAUUCAGAAAAUAAACUUCCCAGGGAGAGGUGAGUGAUGCUUUCCCCAGUGAUUUCAGACUUGGCCUUGCCAUGCACCCCAGGAAGAGUUGCCACGGGAGCGGUGAAGAGACCACAUAGGGAGUGAGAGGCUGGGAUCGGGACAGUAUCUGGGCACGGGGAGGGGGAGGAGGUGGGCCAAAUUCUGGCUCCCUCCAAAUUAUCUGGCUGGUGCUGAGGCGUAUAAAUGUGAACACGAGUGGGACAUCUCUAUGACAGUACUGCAAUGUGCAGGAUCCAGUGAGACACGACAACUUGUUGCUUAAAUGGUAAUUGAAAAUGGAUGAAAACAUGAGGAUAAAGGACCCUCAUCAUCAGUCUGACUUCAGGGGAGGAUCCCCUCAGGUACUGGAAGGCUCUGAUUAGGUCACCCUGAAGCCUUCUCUUCUCUCAGCUGCUCCAGCAUUCCUUGUUAGCAAAUGCUCUCAUGCACCCCGACGUGGAGUCAGGAUGUCAGAUCUGAAACAUCUUAAAUGAAGACAUGGUAUUUGCAACACAUGGCCCUAUUUGGCAUCCUGGGUUACAUCUGUGCAUUUUCUCUGACUCUAAAGGAAAGGGUGAAAGGAUGAUCUGUGAGGCUGUGUUGUGAUCUUCAGUCCCAAUCUGUCCCCCUCUCUGUGCUGUCACCACUCCGUUUGGACAUGAAGCUGAAGGGGUGUAUGUGCCUAUUAACAGGCAGGCAGAAGCCAGGCUGCACUUUGAACAUAUGGGACCCAUUAGCUUUUAAAUCUCUCCCAGAGAUUGUCCAUACUUAUGAUGUCCACAAAAGAAAACCCGUGUGCUUGGACAUAUUGAGUGAAAUUGAGACUAUCAAAUAUGUUUACACAACGGUGGAAGACAAGUAAUUGAGAAAAAUGUUUAGAUAAAUGUUUAUUGCUCUGACAACUAUCACCAACGUUUUUGUACAGAAACCUGGUUUUUAUCAAUAUGUUUAAUGCUUUCGCUUGUCAUUUUAACCAAGGGGUUAAGCAGAGGGCAUUUAUUUUGUAUGGCAUUUAAACAAGAUUCUGAGCAAUGCUGGAGGAUGGAUGACUAGAAGGUAAAGUAAUGUUGCCCAGUAUAACCCUUAAAAUAACUCAAACUCAAGAGUUCAUAGUCUGAGGUACAGUGGCUCACUAACCUCCAAUAAAUAUCUUGUGGGAGUGCAACAUGUGUCUUACAAUUAUAGAGCAACACCAAGAGAGAUCUGUGUCCUAGUUUCAGCUGAGGUGGAGAUAGUUUUCUUCCUAGUAGCUGAUACAGUGCUGGGGUUUGAAUUUAGGAUGAGAAUAAAUUGAUAACACACUGAUCUUUUGGUUGUUGCUAAAUAGCUCUUACCCUACAUUAAGGGCUUUUCAGUCUCCCAUAGUCUGCUAAUGAGCAGGUGUACAAAAUGCUGGGAUGAAUGAGCCAAACUAGCCAAAGGGACAUUCUAUACCAGCGUAUAAACUUGAGAAUUUGGCCAUGAGCUUCUGGUGGCCACUUGUGCAUGGGCUGGGCAUCAGUCAGUGGGGAGUGGGAAGUUGUACUGCGUCAUCAUUUGUCUUUCUUGGAUUUUAUUCUUCUCUUUCUUUCCUUUUCCUUACUAU